Molecule: long non-coding RNA, 1147 nt
Organism: Vicia villosa (hairy vetch)
Lineage: Eukaryota; Viridiplantae; Streptophyta; Magnoliopsida; Fabales; Fabaceae
Exons: 9
Source: RefSeq, a predicted model, not a curated record
AGUUCACGCAAAGGAGAAUACUUGAUUUCUUCGGGCUUCCAAGGAAUUUUCCUGAUUUCAGAAGGAAUAAUUCUUCUUCUUGGGGUUUAUUGGUGGCAUGAAAAAUACAGACCAAGGAAGCCGAAGUAUUUCAACCGUGUUCACUGCAAAAGUGAAGUUAAGUUUAUUCUUUGAGUACUGUUUUUUUCUGUUAUAGGUUCAAUGCAACAAAAAUGUUGGAGUUGAUAAUAGAGUGGUGCAGAAACGAAGACCGACGCUGCGAGUUGAUGCCAUUGAUCACAGUUCGUUGAGAUGGAGAGGAGCUGAUAUUUUGGUUUUCAACACAGCUCAUUGGUGGUCUCAUUACAAAACCAAAGCUGGUAAUUCUGGGUCUCAUUGUUGCUACAGUCGAGCCCGUUGUUGCUGCUACUGUAAUUCUGGGUGAGCCAAUGGACAUCAUGCAGUUAUCUUUCUGUAUAAAUCCCUAAUUUGCAGAAUGACAAAGUCCAUAUCAUCCAUUAGGUUGGCGAAAUACGGAAAGGAAUUUUGCAGAAUUAGGAUGGGAUGUAAGGGUAGCACAAAGCAUCUAUGGUGCUUUCAGCGGCAUCGAGUAUGUUAAAGCUCAAACAACGGGCGUGACAGCAUAUCCGGUUCAAGAUGAUGCCUUGAAGACCGGUGAACUUGACUACAUCAAUGGAGGCUCUAAGCCAAACUGAUGGAAGAUGGCGCUACAGCUCUGAUAAUCCAGAGUCUAGUACCUAUGCUGCUGGAUUAGCUCUCGAAGCUCUUAGUGGAGUGAUUUCACUUGCAUCUUCUGAAAUCGAUCAGAGUAAGGUCAAUAUAGUAAAAACUGGUAUAGUAAAGCUAUUUGACAGCAUCGAGAAAUAUGAUAUUUGUGGCUUCUAGAUUGAAUCUGCACUGUGUGGUUAUUGGAGGUGGUCAUAUAGGGGUGGAAUUUAGUGGUGAAUUGAGUGAUUUCAUCACGAAAGUCUUUGCCACUCAAGUUUUAAACUACGUCUUCUACAUAUCUAAAGUCAUUGUCACUCAAGUUUUUAUAUUUAGUUUUGGUUCAGGUUUAUUAGAUAUAUAAUGUACUUAGUCAAUCAUAUACUGAUGCUAUUGUCAUUGAUGUGUAGACAAUAAAAUAAUUUGUAUUCAUAAAAUUAUA